Molecule: ribosomal RNA, 2930 nt
Filed under: Escherichia coli
Lineage: Bacteria; Pseudomonadati; Pseudomonadota; Gammaproteobacteria; Enterobacterales; Enterobacteriaceae
Description: bacterial LSU rRNA
Rfam family: Bacterial large subunit ribosomal RNA
Source: RNAcentral
GGGUUGUGAGGUUAAGCGACUAAGCGUACACGGUGGAUGCCCUGGCAGUCAGAGGCGAUGAAGGACGUGCUAAUCUGCGAUAAGCGUCGGUAAGGUGAUAUGAACCGUUAUAACCGGCGAUUUCCGAAUGGGGAAACCCAGUGUGUUUCGACACACUAUCAUUAACUGAAUCCAUAGGUUAAUGAGGCGAACCGGGGGAACUGAAACAUCUAAGUACCCCGAGGAAAAGAAAUCAACCGAGAUUCCCCCAGUAGCGGCGAGCGAACGGGGAGCAGCCCAGAGCCUGAAUCAGUGUGUGUGUUAGUGGAAGCGUCUGGAAAGGCGCGCGAUACAGGGUGACAGCCCCGUACACAAAAAUGCACAUACUGUGAGCUCGAUGAGUAGGGCGGGACACGUGGUAUCCUGUCUGAAUAUGGGGGGACCAUCCUCCAAGGCUAAAUACUCCUGACUGACCGAUAGUGAACCAGUACCGUGAGGGAAAGGCGAAAAGAACCCCGGCGAGGGGAGUGAAAAAGAACCUGAAACCGUGUACGUACAAGCAGUGGGAGCCUCUUUAUGGGGUGACUGCGUACCUUUUGUAUAAUGGGUCAGCGACUUAUAUUCUGUAGCAAGGUUAACCGAAUAGGGGAGCCGAAGGGAAACCGAGUCUUAACUGGGCGUUAAGUUGCAGGGUAUAGACCCGAAACCCGGUGAUCUAGCCAUGGGCAGGUUGAAGGUUGGGUAACACUAACUGGAGGACCGAACCGACUAAUGUUGAAAAAUUAGCGGAUGACUUGUGGCUGGGGGUGAAAGGCCAAUCAAACCGGGAGAUAGCUGGUUCUCCCCGAAAGCUAUUUAGGUAGCGCCUCGUGAAUUCAUCUCCGGGGGUAGAGCACUGUUUCGGCAAGGGGGUCAUCCCGACUUACCAACCCGAUGCAAACUGCGAAUACCGGAGAAUGUUAUCACGGGAGACACACGGCGGGUGCUAACGUCCGUCGUGAAGAGGGAAACAACCCAGACCGCCAGCUAAGGUCCCAAAGUCAUGGUUAAGUGGGAAACGAUGUGGGAAGGCCCAGACAGCCAGGAUGUUGGCUUAGAAGCAGCCAUCAUUUAAAGAAAGCGUAAUAGCUCACUGGUCGAGUCGGCCUGCGCGGAAGAUGUAACGGGGCUAAACCAUGCACCGAAGCUGCGGCAGCGACACUAUGUGUUGUUGGGUAGGGGAGCGUUCUGUAAGCCUGUGAAGGUGUACUGUGAGGUAUGCUGGAGGUAUCAGAAGUGCGAAUGCUGACAUAAGUAACGAUAAAGCGGGUGAAAAGCCCGCUCGCCGGAAGACCAAGGGUUCCUGUCCAACGUUAAUCGGGGCAGGGUGAGUCGACCCCUAAGGCGAGGCCGAAAGGCGUAGUCGAUGGGAAACAGGUUAAUAUUCCUGUACUUGGUGUUACUGCGAAGGGGGGACGGAGAAGGCUAUGUUGGCCGGGCGACGGUUGUCCCGGUUUAAGCGUGUAGGCUGGUUUUCCAGGCAAAUCCGGAAAAUCAAGGCUGAGGCGUGAUGACGAGGCACUACGGUGCUGAAGCAACAAAUGCCCUGCUUCCAGGAAAAGCCUCUAAGCAUCAGGUAACAUCAAAUCGUACCCCAAACCGACACAGGUGGUCAGGUAGAGAAUACCAAGGCGCUUGAGAGAACUCGGGUGAAGGAACUAGGCAAAAUGGUGCCGUAACUUCGGGAGAAGGCACGCUGAUAUGUAGGUGAAGCGACUUGCUCGUGGAGCUGAAAUCAGUCGAAGAUACCAGCUGGCUGCAACUGUUUAUUAAAAACACAGCACUGUGCAAACACGAAAGUGGACGUAUACGGUGUGACGCCUGCCCGGUGCCGGAAGGUUAAUUGAUGGGGUUAGCGGUAACGCGAAGCUCUUGAUCGAAGCCCCGGUAAACGGCGGCCGUAACUAUAACGGUCCUAAGGUAGCGAAAUUCCUUGUCGGGUAAGUUCCGACCUGCACGAAUGGCGUAAUGAUGGCCAGGCUGUCUCCACCCGAGACUCAGUGAAAUUGAACUCGCUGUGAAGAUGCAGUGUACCCGCGGCAAGACGGAAAGACCCCGUGAACCUUUACUAUAGCUUGACACUGAACAUUGAGCCUUGAUGUGUAGGAUAGGUGGGAGGCUUAGAAGUGUGGACGCCAGUCUGCAUGGAGCCGACCUUGAAAUACCACCCUUUAAUGUUUGAUGUUCUAACGUUGACCCGUGAUCCGGGUUGCGGACAGUGUCUGGUGGGUAGUUUGACUGGGGCGGUCUCCUCCUAAAGAGUAACGGAGGAGCACGAAGGUUGGCUAAUCCUGGUCGGACAUCAGGAGGUUAGUGCAAUGGCAUAAGCCAGCUUGACUGCGAGCGUGACGGCGCGAGCAGGUGCGAAAGCAGGUCAUAGUGAUCCGGUGGUUCUGAAUGGAAGGGCCAUCGCUCAACGGAUAAAAGGUACUCCGGGGAUAACAGGCUGAUACCGCCCAAGAGUUCAUAUCGACGGCGGUGUUUGGCACCUCGAUGUCGGCUCAUCACAUCCUGGGGCUGAAGUAGGUCCCAAGGGUAUGGCUGUUCGCCAUUUAAAGUGGUACGCGAGCUGGGUUUAGAACGUCGUGAGACAGUUCGGUCCCUAUCUGCCGUGGGCGCUGGAGAACUGAGGGGGGCUGCUCCUAGUACGAGAGGACCGGAGUGGACGCAUCACUGGUGUUCGGGUUGUCAUGCCAAUGGCACUGCCCGGUAGCUAAAUGCGGAAGAGAUAAGUGCUGAAAGCAUCUAAGCACGAAACUUGCCCCGAGAUGAGUUCUCCCUGACCCUUUAAGGGUCCUGAAGGAACGUUGAAGACGACGACGUUGAUAGGCCGGGUGUGUAAGCGCAGCGAUGCGUUGAGCUAACCGGUACUAAUGAACCGUGAGGCUUAACCUUACAACGCCGAAGCUGUU